UACGGAGGAGGCAAGCGUUAUCCGGAAUUAUUGGGCGUAAAGCGUCCGCAGGUGGCGAUUCAAGUCUGCGGUUAAAGACUGGGGCUUAACCCUGGAAAGGCCGUGGAAACUGAAACGCUAGAGUGCAGUAGGGGUAGAGGGAAUUCCCGGUGUAGCGGUGAAAUGCGUAGAGCUCGGGAAGAACACCGGUGGCGAAAGCGCUCUGCUGGACUGCAACUGACACUCAGGGACGAAAGCUAGGGGAGCGAAUGGG
RNAcentral lists this ribosomal RNA (253 nucleotides) under uncultured bacterium. Its description in RNAcentral is "partial 16S ribosomal RNA". It matches the Rfam family "Bacterial small subunit ribosomal RNA", at positions 524 to 776 of the family's 1533-position model. The record is from RNAcentral.